UGCGGGGGGUGCGAGCGUUGUCCGGAAUCACUGGGCGUAAAGGGUGCGUAGGUGGCGCCGUAAGUCGGGUGUGAAAUUUCGGAGCUUAACUCCGAAACUGCAUUCGAUACUGCGGUGCUUGAGGUCUGGAGAGGAGACUGGAAUUCAUGGUGUAGCAGUGAAAUGCGUAGAGAUCAUGAGGAAGACCAGUGGCGAAGGCGGGUCUCUGGACAGUUCCUGACACUGAGGCACGAAAGCCAGGGGAGCAAACGGG
This 253-nucleotide ribosomal RNA is filed under the name uncultured bacterium. Its description in RNAcentral is "partial 16S ribosomal RNA". It matches the Rfam family "Bacterial small subunit ribosomal RNA", at positions 524 to 776 of the family's 1533-position model. The record is from RNAcentral.